AGCCAUGCUUCAGGCACCACACCAACAAAAACUAUCAACAUCCCUGAGUCACAACUUACACCACAGAGUCAUGGAUACAAUGAUCAGAUCACUCCAACCAGGGAAACAGAUAUUGCUUUAGUACCAACAGAGCAAGAUACAAGGUCCGUCAAUGCUCUUGAUAUCCUUACUCAAACUGCACUUGCAACGUCAACAAAUACACCAUAGAAGAAUGAUGGCACAGUUUUUGCUAAGACUACUGUUAAUCCAAAGGACUCCAAGGAUGAAGCUGCUAAUUCAACAACUAAGAUAGAAAAGACUAACACAAGGAAAAGGUCCCGCCCCUCACCUAGCAAGAAAAUUACUAGAAAAUUGUUGCUUGAUAAAGACAAUGAAGAUGAAGAUGAUGACUGUGUUCAUGACACUCCCAAGCCUAGUUCCAGCACCGAUGCUUAGAAGGAAGACGCAGAUCAGCUCAUUUUGUGUUCUCACAGUUGCAGCCAUGCCUAGGCCUACAUCCGCUGAAUUGCUACUACAUGCAAUAUAUUCAGCUCUUUUAUAACCUAAUACGCAGCAUUAAUUAACUCUCUUUUGGAUAUUUUAAUGGCUGCAAAUUAUGUUAUUUCCUCUUUAAUUAUUAGCGCUCACUUUUGCUUGGAUUAGCAUUCUAAGCUACCUACUAAAAUGUUUGGUAGCUACUAAUGCUGAUCCUCAAUUGUAUGUAAUAUAUAUAUGGCUUGACAGAACCUAUCGGCUGCACAUGCCAUUCAAUCAAUAGUACUGUCACCACUGUUAACA
This is a long non-coding RNA of Panicum virgatum (switchgrass), 777 nucleotides long. RefSeq lists it as uncharacterized. The transcript has 5 exons. NCBI's taxonomy places the organism in Eukaryota, Viridiplantae, Streptophyta, Magnoliopsida, Poales, Poaceae. The record is from RefSeq and is a predicted model, not a curated record.